UAACGUGUGGGCAACCUGCCCUAUACUGGGGAAUAAUCACUGGAAACGGUGACUAAUACCGCAUGUCAUUACGGAAGGGCAUCCUUCUGUAAGAAAAGGAGUAAUUCGGUAUAGGAUGGGCCCGCAUCUGAUUAGCUAGUUGGUGAGAUAACAGCCCACCAAGGCGACGAUCAGUAGCCGACCUGAGAGGAUGAUCGGCCACAUUGGGACUGAGACACGGCCCAA
RNAcentral lists this ribosomal RNA (225 nucleotides) under uncultured bacterium. Its description in RNAcentral is "partial 16S ribosomal RNA". It matches the Rfam family "Bacterial small subunit ribosomal RNA", at positions 111 to 334 of the family's 1533-position model. The record is from RNAcentral.